GGGUGGCGAGUGGCGGACGGGUGAGGAAUACAUCGGAAUCUACUUUUUCGUGGGGGAUAACGUAGGGAAACUUACGCUAAUACCGCAUACGACCUACGGGUGAAAGCAGGGGAUCUUCGGACCUUGCGCGAUUGAAUGAGCCGAUGUCGGAUUAGCUAGUUGGCGGGGUAAAGGCCCACCAAGGCGACGAUCCGUAGCUGGUCUGAGAGGAUGAUCAGCCACACUGGAACUGAGACACGGUCCAGACUC
RNAcentral lists this ribosomal RNA (249 nucleotides) under Stenotrophomonas sp. Its description in RNAcentral is "partial 16S ribosomal RNA". It matches the Rfam family "Bacterial small subunit ribosomal RNA", at positions 86 to 338 of the family's 1533-position model. The record is from RNAcentral. Lineage: Bacteria; Pseudomonadati; Pseudomonadota; Gammaproteobacteria; Lysobacterales; Lysobacteraceae.